AACGAACGCUGGCGGCAGGCUUAACACAUGCAAGUCGAACGCACCGCAAGGUGAGUGGCAGACGGGUGAGUAACACGUGGGAACGUACCCCUUUGUUCGGAAUAACCCUGGGAAACUAGGGCUAAUACCGGAUACGGCCGGAAGGCGAAAGGUUUACCGCAGAGGGAUCGGCCCGCGUCCGAUUAGCUUGUUGGUGAGGUAAUGGCUCACCAAGGCAUCGAUCGGUAGCUGGUCUGAGAGGAUGGCCAGCCACAUUGGGACUGAGACACGGCCCAAACUCCUACGGGAGGCAGCAGUGGGGAAUAUUGGACAAUGGGCGCAAGCCUGAUCCAGCCAUGCCGCGUGAGUGAUGACGGCCUUAGGGUUGUAAAGCUCUUUUACCUGGGAAG
Molecule: ribosomal RNA, 389 nt
Filed under: uncultured bacterium
Lineage: Bacteria
Description: bacterial SSU rRNA
Rfam family: Bacterial small subunit ribosomal RNA
Source: RNAcentral